Molecule: ribosomal RNA, 221 nt
Filed under: uncultured bacterium
Lineage: Bacteria
Description: partial 16S ribosomal RNA
Rfam family: Bacterial small subunit ribosomal RNA
Source: RNAcentral
CGACGUGGAUAACCUGCCUCACACAGGGGGAUAACAGUUAGAAAUGACUGCUAGUACCGCAUAAGCGCACGGCAUCGCAUGAUGCAGUGUGAAAAACUCCGGUGGUGUGAGAUGGAUCCGCGUCUGAUUAGGUAGUUGGUGGGGUAACGGCCCACCAAGCCGACGAUCAGUAGCCGACCUGAGAGGGUGACCGGCCACAUUGGGACUGAGACACGGCCCAA